Neltuma alba is the source of this 1128-nucleotide RNA transcript. It is a transcript of the gene named endonuclease 2-like, with no coding region annotated. The transcript is spliced from 10 exons. Lineage: Eukaryota; Viridiplantae; Streptophyta; Magnoliopsida; Fabales; Fabaceae. The record is from RefSeq and is a predicted model, not a curated record.
AUGGAGUUUUGCAGAAUCCACUUAGCGGCCGUAGUGUCACUGGUGCUUCUAUUUCCAAGCACCACCAUAGCCUGGGGAGAAGAUGGGCACGCCAUUAUCUGUAAGAUCGCUCAGCCCCGGCUGAACAAGGCGGCUGCGGAAGCCGUGCAGGAUCUGCUGCCAAAAUAUGCAAAAAAUGAUUUGGGGAGUGUCUGCUCAUGGGCAGAUCAUGUUAAGUUCAUCUUUCCCUGGUCAUCUGCCUUGCAUUACAUUGAUACUCCUGACAACAUUUGCAAUUACCAGUACAACAGGGAUUGCAAGGAUGAGGAUGGACUCAAGGGAAGAUGUGUUGCAGGAGCCAUCAACAAUUACACCAACCAGCUCCUCAGCUAUGGCAGCGAUUCAGAUUCACAAUAUAACCUCACCCAGGCACUUCUAUUCCUUUCUCAUUUCAUGGGAGAUAUACAUCAGCCUCUCCAUGUGGGCUUUACUUCAGAUAGGGGUGGCAAUACAAUUGAUGUUCACUGGUUCACCAGAAAGACUAAUCUUCAUCAUGUUUGGGAUGAUAACAUAAUAGAGACAGCAGAGCAAAGAUUCUACGACUCUAACAUGGAUGGUUUCAUUGAUGCAAUUCAGCAGAAUAUUACGAAAGAAUGGUCUGAUCAAGUAAGAGACUGGGAGACCUGUAAUGAUAGCAAGACCACAUGCCCAAAUAUAUAUGCAUCAGAAAGCAUCAAAGCAGCAUGCGAAUGGGCAUACAAAGAUGUCUCUGAAAACUCAGUACUUGGAGAUGAUUACUUCUCAUCUCGUUUGCCAACAGUAAAUCUGAGGUUAGCUCAAGGAGGAGUUCGUUUGGCAGCCACACUAAAUCGUAUUUUUAGCUGAAAUAGCAACUUUGCUGUAAUCUAUCGAAACAUGAAAGAGAUCUAUUAUUCCUGGGGAAUGAAAAAUUUCUAGCUCAGGUUUCUUGUAAACUAAGCAUCCACAACAAUCAGAACCAAAGCAUAAGAAAACUUAUAUGAAUCCAAAGGCACAUCAGCUUUUUGGAACAGCGGGAACCAACCAUGUUUUUAAUAAUGCCUAAGAAGUGAUGACAUCACUUUUAUCAACGGGUUUGAUCAAAAACCUGAAUUUGUAUGAUGUUGUUAA